This is a long non-coding RNA of Macadamia integrifolia, 490 nucleotides long. RefSeq lists it as uncharacterized. The transcript has 5 exons. The record is from RefSeq and is a predicted model, not a curated record. NCBI's taxonomy places the organism in Eukaryota, Viridiplantae, Streptophyta, Magnoliopsida, Proteales, Proteaceae.
GUUUAUUGGGUUGCUAUAAAAAAACAUGGAUUCACUUUGAAACAAAAAUUUCGGAGUCCUGCGAUUCUCACGGUGAAGCUCGAUUGAGGUUUUCCCUGAAACAGAGCGACGGAGAUGCUCGCAUUUGAGAAGAUUGCCUAAAAUCGAGUUUAUUGAAGGUUGUAAACUUCAUAACUAGGAUUUACCCUCUUUCCAAAUCAGACGAUCGACUCCGAGGUUUGAAUCUGCAAAAUCGAAGCUUGAUUUAAGGUUGCAGUUGCUCGACUUGGGAUCUAAAGCAUUGAAAUCAGGUUGAAAACAAAGGUUGUGGAAUGUUCAAAUGGAUAUCAAGUUCAAGCCCAAGUUGUGAUACUUACCAGACUCCACCUAGGUCCCUAUGCUCAGAAACAUCAACUUCAUCAUUUCCUUCCCCUUCAUCAGACUAUAUCAAAGGAUACUUGAACGGUGCAAUAAAAGAAUCUGAGGGUCAUAUGAGGAUGUUGAGAGAUGU